Non-coding RNA from Gossypium hirsutum (cotton), 107 nucleotides. Lineage: Eukaryota; Viridiplantae; Streptophyta; Magnoliopsida; Malvales; Malvaceae. The record is from Rfam.
AACCCAUGGCGAGGGCACCUUCUUAAUAAAUCCUUAUACCUCUCUCAUGCAUCAUAUAAGGUUUCUAAGUUGAUUUAAAUGAACGAAGAGAUAUCAUUCCUUAACUU